Oryza glumipatula is the source of this 203-nucleotide non-coding RNA. Lineage: Eukaryota; Viridiplantae; Streptophyta; Magnoliopsida; Poales; Poaceae. The record is from Rfam.
AAUAGAUGACGUCGUUGAUUUUUUCUCACAUGUUUGACCAUUCGUCUUAUUUAAAAAAUUUACGUAAUUAUAAUUAUUUUGUUAUGAGUUGUUUUAUCACUCAUAGUACUUUAAGUGUGAUUUAUAUCUUAUACAUUUGCAUAAAAUUUUUAAAUAAGACGAAUGGUUAAACAUGUGAUAAAAAGUCAACGGCUUCAUCUAAU